RNAcentral lists this unclassified non-coding RNA (377 nucleotides) under uncultured Actinomycetes bacterium. RNAcentral's name for it is "uncultured actinobacterium contains 16S-23S intergenic spacer region". Lineage: Bacteria; Bacillati; Actinomycetota; Actinomycetes. The record is from RNAcentral.
UCCGAGUUGGCACCGGCGGUCUCCCUAGAGUCCCCGGCUUUACCCGCUGGCAACUAGGAACAGGGGUUGCGCUCGUUGCGCCACUUAAGGCAACACCUCACGGCACGAGCUGACGACAACCAUGCACCACCUGUCUAGGACGCCGAAGCACACCACAUCUCUGUGGCUUUUCCCUAGAUGUCAAGCCCUGGUAAGGUUCUUCGCGUUGCGUCGAAUUAAGCCACAUGCUCCGCCGCUUGUGCGGGCCCCCGUCAAUUCCUUUGAGUUUUAGCCUUGCGGCCGUAGUCCCCAGGCGGGGUGCUUAAUGCGUUAGCUGCGGCACGGAGGGAGUGGAUAACCCCCCACACCUAGCACCCAUCGUUUACGGCGUGGACUAC